CUCGCGCAGAUGAGACACACUGACGCAGGUGAGACACGCUGACGUAAUAAGACACGCUGACGUAAUAAGACACACUGACGUAGGUGAGACACGCUGACAUAGGUGAGACACACUGACGCAGGUGAGACACGCUGAUGCAGAUGAGACACACUGACGCAGGUGAGACACGCUGACGCAGGUGAGACACGCUGACACAGGUGAGACACACUGACGUAGUGAGACACACUGACGCAGGUGAGGCACACUGACGCAGGUGAGGCACACUGACGUAGGUGAGACACACUGACGCAGGUGAGGCACACUGACGUAGGUGAGGCACACUGACGCAGGUGAGGCACACUGACGCAGGUGAGACACGCUGACGUAGGUGAGACACACUGAUAAAGGUGAGACACACUGACACAGCUGAGACACACUGAUGCAG
This is a long non-coding RNA of Sander lucioperca (pikeperch), 424 nucleotides long. RefSeq lists it as uncharacterized. The record is from RefSeq and is a predicted model, not a curated record. NCBI's taxonomy places the organism in Eukaryota, Metazoa, Chordata, Actinopteri, Perciformes, Percidae. The transcript is spliced from 3 exons.